UACGGGGGGGGCAAGCGUUGUUCGGAAUUACUGGGCGUAAAGGGCUGGUAGGUGGCCAACUAAGUCAAACGUGAAAUCCCCAGGCUUAACCUGGGAACUGCGUCUGAUACUGGAUGGCUGGAGUUUGGGAGAGGGAUGCGGAAUUCCAGGUGUAGCGGUGAAAUGCGUAGAUAUCUGGAGGAACACCGGUGGCGAAGGCGGCAUCCUGGACCAAUACUGACACUGAACAGCGAAAGCCAGGGGAGCAAACGGG
Molecule: ribosomal RNA, 253 nt
Filed under: uncultured Acidobacteriota bacterium
Lineage: Bacteria; Pseudomonadati; Acidobacteriota
Description: uncultured Acidobacteria bacterium partial 16S ribosomal RNA
Rfam family: Bacterial small subunit ribosomal RNA
Source: RNAcentral